GAAUUUUCCGCAAUGGGCGAAAGCCUGACGGAGCAACGCCGCGUGGGUGAUGAAGAUUUUCGGAUCGUAAAGCCCUUUCAGCAGGGACGAAGCGAGUGACGGUACCUGCAGAAGAAGCAUCGGCUAACUACGUGCCAGCAGCCGCGGUAAUACGUAGGAUGCAAGCGUUGUCCGGAAUUAUUGGGCGUAAAGCGAACGUAGGCGGUUACUUAAGUCUGGACUUAAAGACCGGGGCUCAACCUCGGGAAUGGUUCGGAUACUGGGUGACUGGAGGAUGUCAGAGGAAAGUGGAAUUCCAAGUGUAGCGGUGAAAUGCGUAGAUAUUUGGAGGAACACCAGUGGCGAAAGCGGCUUUCUGGGACAUUCCUGACGCUGAGGUUCGAAAGCUCGGGGAGCAAACAG
Molecule: ribosomal RNA, 402 nt
Filed under: uncultured bacterium
Lineage: Bacteria
Description: bacterial SSU rRNA
Rfam family: Bacterial small subunit ribosomal RNA
Source: RNAcentral